Molecule: ribosomal RNA, 424 nt
Filed under: uncultured bacterium
Lineage: Bacteria
Description: bacterial SSU rRNA
Rfam family: Bacterial small subunit ribosomal RNA
Source: RNAcentral
AAGACCUUGCACUUUUGGAGCCGGCCGAUGUCUGAUUAGCUAGUUGGUGGGGUAAAGGCCUACCAAAGCUUCGAUCAGUAGCUGGUCUGAGAGGACGGCCAGCCACACUGGGACUGAGACACGGCCCAGACUCCUACGGGAGGCAGCAGUGGGGAAUUUUGGACAAUGGGCGCAAGCCUGAUCCAGCCAUGCCGCGUGAGUGAAGAAGGCCUUCGGGUUGUAAAGCUCUUUCAGCCGGGAAGAAAAGGCUGCGACUAAUAAUCGCAGUUCAUGACGGUACCGGAAGAAGAAGCACCGGCUAACUACGUGCCAGCAGCCGCGGUAAUACGUAGGGUGCGAGCGUUAAUCGGAAUUACUGGGCGUAAAGGGUGCGCAGGCGGUUUUGUAAGUCAGAUGUGAAAUCCCCGGGCUUAACCUGGGAACU